GAUCCUGGCUCAGGAUGAACGCUAGCGGCAGGCUUAACACAUGCAAGUCGAGGGGCAGCACGAGGUAGCAAUACUUUGGUGGCGGCCGGCGCACGGGUGCGUAACGCGUAUGCAACCUACCUUUAACAGGGGCAUAACACUGAGAAAUUGGUACUAAUUCCCCAUAACAUUCGAGAAGGCGUCUUCUUGGGUUAAAAACUCCGGUGGUUAAAGAUGGGCAUGCGUUGUAUUAGCUAGUUGGUGAGGUAACGGCU
RNAcentral lists this ribosomal RNA (254 nucleotides) under uncultured bacterium. RNAcentral's name for it is "partial 16S ribosomal RNA". It matches the Rfam family "Bacterial small subunit ribosomal RNA", at positions 15 to 265 of the family's 1533-position model. The record is from RNAcentral.